UUCACUCCAAUGGACCACUUUUUUACAGCAAUGGCGGAUCGUGGAGCCUCUCAAUCGUUCCCCGGAGGUUAGCGCCAAUGCUAACAGAGCUGUAGAGUUGCAGCUUAAUAGCCCGUUCGUGACGGACUUUUAAAGCACAAGAACCAGAGGGGGAUUCAAUGGAGCCUGAAUACCUGCAUUGAGACCCUCACCCUGCACCCUGAGUCUCAACUCUCAGUGUUUUUCAAGCCUUUCCCUAUUUUUUUGUAUUAAACAAAACAUUAAGCUUU
Molecule: long non-coding RNA, 269 nt
Organism: Notothenia coriiceps (black rockcod)
Lineage: Eukaryota; Metazoa; Chordata; Actinopteri; Perciformes; Nototheniidae
Exons: 2
Source: RefSeq, a predicted model, not a curated record